RNAcentral lists this ribosomal RNA (303 nucleotides) under uncultured bacterium. RNAcentral's name for it is "partial 16S ribosomal RNA". It matches the Rfam family "Bacterial small subunit ribosomal RNA", at positions 507 to 807 of the family's 1533-position model. The record is from RNAcentral.
AGCAGCAGCCGCGGGAAUACAGAGGGUGCGAGCGUUAAUCGGAUUUACUGGGCGUAAAGCGUGCGUAGGCGGCUUUUUAAGUCGGAUGUGAAAUCCCUGAGCUUAACUUAGGAAUUGCAUUCGAUACUGGGAAGCUAGAGUAUGGGAGAGGAUGGUAGAAUUCCAGGUGUAGCGGUGAAAUGCGUAGAGAUCUGGAGGAAUACCGAUGGCGAAGGCAGCCAUCUGGCCUAAUACUGACGCUGAGGUACGAAAGCAUGGGGAGCAAACAGGAUUAGAUACCCGUGUAGUCCCUGUCUCUUAUAC